Molecule: small RNA, 116 nt
Filed under: Caenorhabditis elegans
Lineage: Eukaryota; Metazoa; Nematoda; Chromadorea; Rhabditida; Rhabditidae
Description: Unclassified non-coding RNA ZK643.14
Source: RNAcentral
GGUCUCUUCCUAUCAUCUCUUCUUCUACGAUCACUUCUUGAAGAACUUCUGGAUCUUGAACGACCAUCGCUUGAGCUGGAAGUACUGGAAUAUGAUGAGCUUCUUCUCUUACGAGU